AACUGAGUUUGUGAUCGGUCUGAGAGUCAUAUUGUUUAAUUAUCACAAAGGAGCAUUUUAAAUGUUAACAGUAGAACAGAAAGCAAAGAUCGUUGCUGAAUUUGGUCGUA
Molecule: non-coding RNA, 110 nt
Filed under: Succinatimonas hippei
Lineage: Bacteria; Pseudomonadati; Pseudomonadota; Gammaproteobacteria; Aeromonadales; Succinivibrionaceae
Description: Ribosomal S15 leader
Rfam family: Ribosomal S15 leader
About the family: The E. coli Ribosomal S15 gene 5' UTR can form two alternative structures. One that is a series of three hairpins, The other includes a pseudoknot. This structure causes translational regulation of the S15 protein.
Source: RNAcentral